CUUUUAUACUCAAACGAUAUCUCAAGCUUUGAACAUCUGAAAGAGCCGUGCUUCAACCAUCGAGAAAUGCAAGGCGUAUAUAGCAUAACUACAGACCAACCAAAACAUAGUUGUCUACUUAAACUGGGAACAUGAAAUAAAAUGCUAUCAAAACCAACUGUGUUAAAGCUGCCAACAGUAAAACAUGGUAGUGGCACCAUCAUGCUGUGGUUUUCUUCAGCAGGGAAAGGGAAGCUGGCCAGAGUUUCUAGAUUGUAGCAGCGUGUUAGAGUAGAUCUGUUACAUUACUUCUGAUUUAUUCUUUUUGUAGAUUUCUGUUCAUAAUUCUUUGAGUUGAGGCAUUGGAUGUUUGGACAAUUAUCCCUUCUCAAUUUUAAUGUUCUGCCACUUUAAGUACUUUUGCUCUUACUAAUUAAAUGUUUUCGCCUUUAUUUAUUCAGGGUGUCCAGUUGAGAUCCAUGUGAGAUCUACUCUAUAGUUGCAAAUGUUCCCAGGUCCCGUGGCUGCAAAUAAAAGCCCAAAUUAUUAAUCCUCCCCCACUGCUCUUCUGUAUGGUUGGGGAAACCUGCUCUUCUGAAAACUUUAUUCAUUGUUUAUGACUCACCGUUAGAUGCUCUGACAAAUGUCAGAUAAAACUACCAAUCCACUGGAACCCUCCUGCAGCUGUUCAACACAUACCAACCCUUUACAAAUCAUGUCAUUUCCAAAUUAAAUUAAGAUCUAAUCAUUAUACUGCUGCAGCUAAACUAUUUUCUGUUGUUGAGAUUAAAUUCAACAUUGUUCUUGGCUUUAGCUCCCACCUAGCUAGUUCAUAAACUUACUGCAUAGGUAAGUAAAAAAAAAAACCAAACACUUUUGCACCUAUAAACAGACACACACUGACACAGAGCCCUUUCUUUACACACUCAUCUGCAGCAACACACACCUCUGCAGUGGGAAUGGCUCUUGGCCACAGGCAGUUUGCACAUUAAGCUAACCUUGAUCAAUAACCUGCUAUGGACCUCGGCAAAAUCCACUGUUUUCCCAACUGCUGGUUUUCGAUAUCACGGCUGUUUGAACGCCUUAGCCACGGGCCAGCUGCGUGUGCAAAUGUGUGUGUGUAUUCAGUGUGUACUUGUGCGUUUGCGUGUGUGUGUGUGUGUGUACAUGCAUGUGCAGCUGCUGCAUGAUUUAACAAGAGCCUGUGAGCAUGUGCAGAUGUGUAUGUGUGCACUUUACACAUCUUUGUGCAUGAUUUCCAGCGUAUCUGCACGUUGGUGUUUUCUUGCGUGUACAUGUGUGUUUGACUGAAGCCUCGGGGUCCGCUGUGAACGGUGCUAACUGGCCCUCUGAACUCUUCCCUGUGAAGAGAAAGAAAAAGCCACUGGGCAUGUACAGACGACAGCGUGCCAUUUACCUGGGCUACGCAUGGUUUUUAAAACUGGCAAGAGGGACUUCCGUGCACACACAGGCGCACGCACACACAUACAGUCGGGAGGGAUACUCUUGCCUUUUGCCUCUAACGCAAAAGCACACCUUUGCUCCCUCGCCUCAAACACAAACACACUUCAAAAGUUUUUUCUUUCAUUUUUUUCCCUUUUUUUAUUUUUGGAAGCGAUGCAGCCAGUGCUACCCCUGCGUUUAAAGAGCCUAAGCACUCUCUUCAUGUGCCCUUUUCUUGCUUCCUGCCUCUGCAAAAAGGCCCCAGUGCGGCAGCAAAACUUACUAGUUUACAUCCAGCUGUACAACUGGCAAGCCAACCUUUUGGCUUUCCAAGGUGUUCAUCUCACAGUGCUCUUUAUAUGCAGUAAAGAGGGGCAGUGCAAUCGGCCCUUGCUGCUGCUUCUUCUUCUUCUUCUGCAGCUUGGCACUGAGAUGAGUAAAUGGAGGAAGAAACAAGCAGUGGUAGUUUUUGGCUGUGGAGGGGCAGAUAAUUGUUGAACAGAAGAGAAGUUUAUCAGAUAACUACAGCAACGUGUCAGAGGUUUGCUGCUUUCUCCGGUAACAAGCGUUCGACUGAUUUCAACAUUCGCUGAGCCGAGGAAGGAGAAAACAGUCCGGCUCUCUUGAUUGUGUAUGUGUGGGUUCAUUUGUCUUAAUGCACCUGGCUGGAUUUGUGUGUGUGUCUGUAAAUUGGUGGUUGAAUACAGCUGACCCAGAUGUGUAAAGUGGGUCAUGGGAACAACGCCGCCCACACAGUGGAGGUUAUGUGUUGUACUGUGUGUAUGUGUGCAUGUAGAUGGGGUUAGGACACUGGGGCAGUGCCCUGAUUAUGCUAAGAUUAGUUUUGGGAAUUCAUUUCCCCUCCAUCUGAGCUUUACCACCCCACCCCUGCCCCACCCCCAUUUCUAUCCCUUUCUCAUCAUUUAAAGAAUUGCUAGUUUCACUUUUUUUCUAUUCUAUUGUAAUAAUUCAAUCUUUAAAAUAGCUUAUUUAUCACUUUUGACUCAACACAUAUUUAUUUGGCUCUAUAGAAAACCUUUAAUUUUUAGAUGGUGCUUCACAUGGGAAUAAGGGAGAUUCAACCCCAUAAAUAGAAUUUGAAUCCUCCCAAAAUAGGUAAGAAUUACAGAUCGAUUGGUAUAAAACAACAUAAUUCAUGUUUCAGUGUAUUCAUACAUUUGCAUUAGGUUUAUUAAUUUCUUUGAAGGUCGUUUAAAUGUCAGGCUGUUUUACCCAUUUUCAGAGCAUUGCUCAUCAGUGUAUUAUUUUCACAUAACCUGUUUAAACCACUUAACUCUUGGUGGCUGUUAAAGAGCUAUUGGACGAAAACCUUGACGUGUUUCGAGUUUGGUGAGCAGAUUUUCCUUCUAAAGGUUUUUGGAAGACUAAACAAGUGAAGGACAAAAUCAUUGUAAAAAAACUAAAGAUAAAGUGGAUGAAAAAUGUCUGAAUUUUGUGUUUGUAGAAAUUAACAUCUCCAAAUAAAAGAAUAAGAUACCUCCAAAGUAUUGUGUACUAAAUGCCAAGUUUUCAUCCAAUAGUUUUUUUUUUUAGGAAUCAUCUCAAACUGGUUUGUUGAACAUGACGGCUUUACAUUUGUAGCCAAAUCUCUGAAAUUUUCACUUCCCAGUCAGUCUUGACUAGGAAGUGAGAACAUUCAGACUUUCCUAUUUGGAAAGUCUGAAUGUUUCUAAGACCGAUUUCAAGUUUCAAUAUGGCUGCUACUUGCAUCAACAUUUAUAAGCUGUGGUGAAAACACACUUAUUUUACAAGACACUCUUGUAAGACUGUCUAAAAUCAAAGUUACAUGUAGCACCUGCAAGUCUAAACUAAACAAAUUAAAAGUGGUGUGGAGACGGAUUAAUAUGACGUCCAUACGAUGUGGUGACGGUUAUAAUGGAGAUUCCAUUCAUACGCCCUCAAUCUUGUUUUGUACAUCUUGCUUUACAGAUCUAAAUAUGCAGGGAGUUUCUAGAACAUGUUUCCUCUUUCAGUAUUUUUUAUUUGUAUAUGAAAACCUUUUUUGUCCCCUCAACAGGUUAUGUUUGUGCAAAAAUCAAAUAAUAAAAACAGUCUUUUCACAUUUCCCCAUAACAAGGUAAUCACCAGGAAAAACCCCAAAGGCCAUCUAAGCAAGUUUCUCUAAAGAAAGUUUUUACAAGCAUGAUAGAAUAAAGACCAACGGGAACAAAUGCAGCAGCUAUUAGAGCUUCACGUGCUCAAGGUUUUUCCCCAUUUUUGUCUUCUUUCACAAUAGACAAAAUACUUCAGUUGUAAGACACGAACGACGCAGAGCAGCUCGCUGAAUAAAGACACCAAAAAUCUAAAGAGUAAAGCGAGCCAGUGAUUGGCGCCACAUAUCACAGAUCUUGACAUUACAUUCAGCAUGUAACAUUUGAGUGUCUCAUAACAGUGACCGACAGUAUUGUUGUUUCAUUUAUUUUUCAAAGUACUUAGAACCUAUAACGGAUAAACUAGUGAACAAUAGACAUUAAGACAAACAGGAAAACUGGAUUUAAUGUGGCUGCUUUCAAUAAAAAAUAAAAAUGAUCUGCAUCUUUUUGGACUCUUAAUGCAGAAAAGGCAUUGGCAGUGUUUCAAAUCACUUGAAGUUGGAGAAUUUGCAUCUUUCUUUUGUUCUCAUUUCAAUUAAACUUUGAGCUUUUCUGCUCACCUCAUAACUUCAUUUUUUUUUCUUCAUUAUUUCAAUUGUUCUCGUGAAUGUGUGGCUGGUAAUUGUUUGUUUUUUCCACUUGUUUUCUCGGGCUAUACGGUGUGGAGUUGUUUGCAAUAAAAGAUUUAAUCAGAUCAUCUUCAUUAUCCCUUGUAUUUGCUUUUUGCUUUUAGUCGACUUUGUUUUUUCUUUUUUAUCUUCAUUCAUGAAAUGUUUCAAUCUAUUUACUUCUAAUUAAUUAAAUUACAAAAAUAAGUACAUAAAUUGAUGGAACAAACAGGGUCUAUUAGGCUUAAAAUGAAUACAAUGAGGCUACAAGGCAAAAACAAAAAAAAAAGUACAGAACAGCUAACCUAUUUUUCUUAGCUGCCAGUAAGUCGAACAAUAGAAGGAAACAUAGGAAUGUUUUUCUUUCUUCUUUCAAGAAGCUAAAUAAAUAAAGAAACUCUUUUCGAACAAUUGUAUUCCUGACCUUGUUUUUUGCUGCCUUACUAAGGGUAGCAACGUAGUUUGAGCGGUAAACUGAGAGCUCAUCUCUCUUCACCACAACAGACCAGUGCAGCGCUCACAUCUCUGCAGUCACUGCACCAAUCUGUCUGUCAAUCUCCUGCUCCGUUUCUCCUUCAUUCAUGAACAAGUAGCCAAGAUACUUAAACUCCUCCACCAGGAAAACGACCUCGUCCCCAAUCCAAAGAGGGCACUCUACCCUUUUCCAUCUCAAGUCCAUGGCCUCAGAUUUGGAGAUGCAGAUCUUCGUCCCAUCAAGCGAGUUCUCAGCUUAUUAUUGGCCUAUAAACAAACGUGUGAGUGAAAAUGGGGCCCGGAGCCACGAGUUGGGAGGAGAGAUGGCAGCCAGGGUGGCACGCUGACUGGAGGAGCGCCAGCUGCUCUCAACCAGAAAGUACUUUCUGGAGGUCGGAUGGAACUCAGCAGAUCAUCAGAUUAUGGCAGCAAAUCCCUGCAUGUAAAGAGGACAGAAGACUCUAAUGGCUGGAGGACGUCGACAUGCUGCGUGUGUCUCCAAGGUGCUGCUGGUUCCUGAUCUGGUUCUAAUCAGGAGUGUUCCAGCUUUGCCCAGCUGAACCUACAGAUUUAAUAUGGAUCAGUGAGGGCUCACUGAAAGCGGAGCGCGGAGGAACACGACCACACUGCGGAGGAGGAACGGUCGACACUUACCCCUGUUAGCACUUAAAGAGAAAAUCAUCUUGUUACAGUUGUUAGGAUUCUGACCUUUGGCUCUGUAAUUUAACAAGUGUUUAACAGAGAAAUGGAAAAGCAAAGAGAAAUCAGUGUCAGGAGACAUUAUGUUGAUAAUCCUGCAUCCCUGUUUGCUCAUUUAUCCCUGGUAGAGAGUUUAUUUUGACCAUCAAACAUUCGAGGUAUCAGACAAUGUUUUUAAGGAACUUCUUGGAAUAUUAAAUUUACAAUCAAUGAUUAGAAAUACAAAUGAACGUCACUUUUAGCGCUGUAUCUCUAAAAAGCAUUGGAUUCUAAUAAAAACUCUUAAGUCUAAUAAUUUAAAGCUC
Molecule: long non-coding RNA, 5622 nt
Organism: Poecilia reticulata (guppy)
Lineage: Eukaryota; Metazoa; Chordata; Actinopteri; Cyprinodontiformes; Poeciliidae
Source: RefSeq, a predicted model, not a curated record